UACGUAGGGUGCAAGCGUUGUCCGGAAUUAUUGGGCGUAAAGAGCUCGUAGGCGGCUUGUCGCGUCGUCCGUGAAAACCUGCAGCUCAACUGCAGGCUUGCGGUCGAUACGGGCAGGCUGGAGUUCGGUAGGGGAGACUGGAAUUCCUGGUGUAGCGGUGAAAUGCGCAGAUAUCAGGAGGAACACCAAUUGCGAAGGCAGCUCGCUGGGACGUUACUGACGCUGAGACGCGAAAGCGUGGGGAGCAAACAGG
Molecule: ribosomal RNA, 253 nt
Filed under: uncultured bacterium
Lineage: Bacteria
Description: partial 16S ribosomal RNA
Rfam family: Bacterial small subunit ribosomal RNA
Source: RNAcentral